This 454-nucleotide ribosomal RNA is filed under the name Citrobacter sp. RNAcentral describes it as "bacterial SSU rRNA". It matches the Rfam family "Bacterial small subunit ribosomal RNA", at positions 979 to 1433 of the family's 1533-position model. The record is from RNAcentral. Lineage: Bacteria; Pseudomonadati; Pseudomonadota; Gammaproteobacteria; Enterobacterales; Enterobacteriaceae.
UCUUGACAUCCACAGAACUUGGCAGAGAUGCCUUGGUGCCUUCGGGAACUGUGAGACAGGUGCUGCAUGGCUGUCGUCAGCUCGUGUUGUGAAAUGUUGGGUUAAGUCCCGCAACGAGCGCAACCCUUAUCCUUUGUUGCCAGCGGUUCGGCCGGGAACUCAAAGGAGACUGCCAGUGAUAAACUGGAGGAAGGUGGGGAUGACGUCAAGUCAUCAUGGCCCUUACGACCAGGGCUACACACGUGCUACAAUGGCAUAUACAAAGAGAAGCGACCUCGCGAGAGCAAGCGGACCUCAUAAAGUAUGUCGUAGUCCGGAUUGGAGUCUGCAACUCGACUCCAUGAAGUCGGAAUCGCUAGUAAUCGUGGAUCAGAAUGCCACGGUGAAUACGUUCCCGGGCCUUGUACACACCGCCCGUCACACCAUGGGAGUGGGUUGCAAAAGAAGUAGGUAG